AUUGAACGCUGGCGGCAGGCCUAACACAUGCAAGUCGAGCGGCGCUUCGGACGGGUGAGUAAUGCCUAGUAAUCUGCCUGUUAGUGAGGGAUCCCGUCCGCAAACGGGCGCUAAUACCGCAUACUAUCAGAUGAGCCUAGGUCGGAUUAGCUAGUUGUUGGGGUAAAGGCUUACCAAGGCGACGAUCCGUAACUGGUCGGAGAGGAUGAUCAGUCCCACUGGAAUUGAGACACGGUCCAGACGCCUACGGGAGGCAGCAGUGGGGAAUGUUGGACAAUGGGCGAAAGCCUGAUCCAGCCAUGCCGAGUGUGUGAAGAAGGUCUUCGGAUAGUAAAGGAAUUUAAGUUGGGAAGCGGUACCAACAGAAUAAGGACCGGCUAACUUCGUGCCAGCAGCCGCGGUAAUAC
This 407-nucleotide ribosomal RNA is filed under the name uncultured bacterium. Its description in RNAcentral is "partial 16S ribosomal RNA". It matches the Rfam family "Bacterial small subunit ribosomal RNA", at positions 30 to 526 of the family's 1533-position model. The record is from RNAcentral.